Molecule: small nuclear RNA, 102 nt
Organism: Zalophus californianus (California sea lion)
Lineage: Eukaryota; Metazoa; Chordata; Mammalia; Carnivora; Otariidae
Source: Ensembl
GUGCUCACCGCAGCAGCAAAUACACUAAAAUUGGAAUGAUAUGGAUUAGCAUGGCCCCUGCACAAGGAUGACAUGCAAAAUCAUGAAGCACUUCAUAAAAAU